RNAcentral lists this ribosomal RNA (436 nucleotides) under uncultured bacterium. RNAcentral's name for it is "bacterial SSU rRNA". It matches the Rfam family "Bacterial small subunit ribosomal RNA", at positions 954 to 1392 of the family's 1533-position model. The record is from RNAcentral.
GCUAAACGCGAAGAACCUUACCAAGGCUUGACAUGCAUCUCUAAGCGCGUGAAAGCGCGUGACCCUUCGGGGAAUUUGCACAGGUGCUGCAUGGCCGUCGUCAGCUCGUGUCGUGAGAUGUUGGGUUAAGUCCCGCAACGAGCGCAACCCUUAUCUUUAGUUGCCAGCAUUCAGUUGGGCACUCUAGAGAGACUGCCGGUGACAAACCGGAGGAAGGUGGGGAUGACGUCAAAUCAUCAUGCCCCUUAUGUCUUGGGCUACACACGUGCUACAAUGGUUGGUACAAAGGGCAGCAAGCCAGCGAUGGUAAGCAAAUCCCAGAAAGCCAAUCUCAGUUCGGAUUGUAGGCUGCAACUCGCCUACAUGAAGUCGGAAUCGCUAGUAAUCGCAGAUCAGCAUGCUGCGGUGAAUACGUUCCCGGGUCUUGUACACACCG